This 396-nucleotide ribosomal RNA is filed under the name uncultured bacterium. Its description in RNAcentral is "partial 16S ribosomal RNA". It matches the Rfam family "Bacterial small subunit ribosomal RNA", at positions 523 to 918 of the family's 1533-position model. The record is from RNAcentral.
AUACGUAGGUGGCAAGCGUUGUCCGGAAUUGUUGGGCGUAAAGCGCAUGUAGGCGGUGCCUUAAGUCUGUCGUGAAACUGCGGGGCCUAACCCCGUAUGGCGAUGGAAACUGGGGUACUUGAGUGCAGGAGAGGAAAGGGGAACUCCCAGUGUAGCGGUGAAAUGCGUAGAUAUUGGGAAGAACACCGGUGGCGAAGGCGCCUUUCUGGACUGUGUCUGACGCUGAGAUGCGAAAGCCAGGGUAGCGAACGGGAUUAGAUACCCCGGUAGUCCUGGCCGUAAACGAUGGGUACUAGGUGUGGGAGGUAUCGACCCCUUCCGUGCCGGGGUUAACGCAAUAAGUCCCCCGCCUGGGGAGUACGGCCGCAAGGCUUAAACUCAAAGGAAUUGACGGGG